Alosa sapidissima (American shad) is the source of this 102-nucleotide long non-coding RNA. RefSeq lists it as uncharacterized. Lineage: Eukaryota; Metazoa; Chordata; Actinopteri; Clupeiformes; Clupeidae. The record is from RefSeq and is a predicted model, not a curated record. The transcript is spliced from 5 exons.
UGUGUGUGUGUGUGUGUUUGGGGAGCUGGUUGUACACUGACCAGCUGGGGCGUCACACCUCCCCCCUAAGAGAACCGAGGCCCACAUUUAUGGGACCGGUUA